AGAUAAGGAACUGAACUGGCU
Molecule: microRNA, 21 nt
Filed under: Gallus gallus (chicken)
Lineage: Eukaryota; Metazoa; Chordata; Aves; Galliformes; Phasianidae
Description: gga-miR-1749-5p
Source: miRBase by way of RNAcentral